Molecule: ribosomal RNA, 372 nt
Filed under: uncultured bacterium
Lineage: Bacteria
Description: bacterial SSU rRNA
Rfam family: Bacterial small subunit ribosomal RNA
Source: RNAcentral
ACAGAGGGUGCGAGCGUUAAUCGGAAUUACUGGGCGUAAAGCGCACGUAGGCGGCUUUGUAAGUCGGAUGUGAAAUCCCCGGGCUCAACCUGGGAACUGCACCCGAAACUACAUUGCUAGAGUAUGGGAGAGGGAGGCGGAAUUUCCGGUGUAGCAGUGAAAUGCGUAGAUAUCGGAAGGAACAUCAGUGGCGAAGGCGGCCUCCUGGACCAAUACUGACGCUCAGGUGCGAAAGCGUGGGGAGCAAACAGGAUUAGAUACCCUGGUAGUCCACGCCCUAAACGAUGAGAACUGGAUGUCGGGAGGGUUUGCCUUCCGGUGUCGUAGCUAACGCGAUAAGUUCUCCGCCUGGGAAGUACGGCCGCAAGGUUG